UACGAAGGGGGGGCUAGCGUUGCUCGGAAUCACUGGGCGUAAAGGGUGCGUAGGCGGGUCUUUUAAGUCAGGGGUGAAAUCCUGGAGCUCAACUCCAGAACUGCCUUUGAUACUGAAGAUCUUGAGUUCGGGGAGAGGUGAGUGGAACUGCGAGUGUAGAGGUGAAAUUCGUAGAUAUUCGCAAGAACACCAGUGGCGAAGGCGGCUCACUGGCCCGAUACUGACGCUGAGGCACGAAAGCGUGGGGAGCAAACAGG
RNAcentral lists this ribosomal RNA (257 nucleotides) under uncultured bacterium. RNAcentral describes it as "partial 16S ribosomal RNA". It matches the Rfam family "Bacterial small subunit ribosomal RNA", at positions 524 to 776 of the family's 1533-position model. The record is from RNAcentral.